GUGCCAGCAGCCGCGGUAAUACGUAGGAUGCAAGCGUUGUUCGGAAUUAUUGGGUGUAAAGGGCGCGUAGGUGGCCCUGUAAGUCAUGGGUGAAAUCCCUCGGCUUAACCGAGGAAUUGCCUAUGAUACUGCAGGGCUUGAGUACGGGAGAGGGAAGUGGAAUUCCUGGUGUAGCGGUGAAAUGCGUAGAUAUCAGGAGGAACACCGGUGGCGAAGGCGGCUUCCUGGACCGAUACUGACACUGAGGCGCGAAAGCGUGGGUAGCAAACAGGAUUAGAUACCCUGGUAGUCCUAGCCCUAAACCAUCAGGACUUGGCGUGGGCCCCGUCCGGGGUCCGUGUCGUAGCCAACGUGAUAAGUCCUGCGCCUGGGGAGUACGGUCGCAAGGCUGAAACUUAAAUGAAUUGGCGG
RNAcentral lists this ribosomal RNA (411 nucleotides) under uncultured bacterium. Its description in RNAcentral is "bacterial SSU rRNA". It matches the Rfam family "Bacterial small subunit ribosomal RNA", at positions 505 to 916 of the family's 1533-position model. The record is from RNAcentral.